GACGAACGCUGGCGGCGUGCCUAAUACAUGCAAGUGGGACGCAAGGAAACACACUGUGCUUGCACACCGUGUUUUCUUGAGUCGCGAACGGGUGAGUAACGCGUAGGUAACCUGCCUAUUAGCGGGGGAUAACUAUUGGAAACGAUAGCUACUACCGCAUAAUAUUAAUUAUUGCAUGAUAAUUGAUUGAAAGAUGCAAGCGCAUCACUAGUAGAUGGACCUGCGUUGUAUUAGCUAGUUGGUAAGGUAAGAGCUUACCAAGGCGACGAUACAUAGCCGAGCCGGGGGGGAGAACGGCCACACUGGGACUGAGACACGGCCCAGAAUCCUACGGGAAGCAGCAGGAGGGAAACUUCGGCAAUGGAGGAAAGGCUGAACGAGGAACGCCGCGUGAGUGAAGAAGGGUUUCGGAUCGUAAAGCUCUGUUGUAAGUCAAGAACGUGUGGGAGAGUGGAAAGUUCACACAGUGACGGUAGCUUACCAGAAAGGGACGGCUAACUACGUG
RNAcentral lists this ribosomal RNA (505 nucleotides) under uncultured bacterium. Its description in RNAcentral is "partial 16S ribosomal RNA". It matches the Rfam family "Bacterial small subunit ribosomal RNA", at positions 28 to 507 of the family's 1533-position model. The record is from RNAcentral.